CCUACGGGAGGCAGCAGUGAGGAAUAUUGGUCAAUGGGCGCGAGCCUGAACCAGCCAAGUCGCGUGAGGGAAGACGGCCCUACGGGUUGUAAACCUCUUUUGCCGGGGAGCAACGGGCGCCACGUGUGGCGCCACUGAGAGUACCCGGAGAAAAAGCAUCGGCUAACUCCGUGCCAGCAGCCGCGGUAAUACGGAGGAUGCGAGCGUUAUCCGGAUUUAUUGGGUUUAAAGGGUGCGUAGGCGGAGCGUUAAGUCAGUGGUCAAAUUGAGGGGCUCAACCCCUUCCCGCCAUUGAAACUGUUUCCCUUGAGUGUCGGAGAGGUAAUCGGAAUUCCUUGUGUAGCGGUGAAAUGCGUAGAUAUAAGGAAGAACACCAGUGGCGAAGGCGGAUUACUGGACGAUAACUGACGGUGAGGCGCGAAAGCGUGGGGAGCAAACAGGAUUAGAUACCCCAGUAGUC
Molecule: ribosomal RNA, 460 nt
Filed under: uncultured bacterium
Lineage: Bacteria
Description: partial 16S ribosomal RNA
Rfam family: Bacterial small subunit ribosomal RNA
Source: RNAcentral